GACGAACGCUGGCGGCGCGCCUAAUACAUGCAAGUCGAACGGGUCUCCUUCGGGAGGUCAGUGGCGGACGGGUGAGUAACACGUGGGUGACCUGCCCCGAAGUGGGGAAUAACGCUGCGAAAGCAGCGCUAAUACCGCAUAUGCUUAACGGUCCAAUCUGUUAAAGCAAAGCAGCAAAUGCGCUUUGGGAGGGGCCUGCGGCAGAUUAGCUAGUCGGUGGGGUAAUGGCCUACCAAGGCGACGACGGGUAGCCGGCCUGAGAGGGCGACCGGCCACACUGGGACUGGAGACACGGCCCAGACUCCUACGGGAGGCAGCAGUGGGGAAUCUUGCGCAAUGGGCGAAAGCCUGACGCAGCGACGCCGCGUGA
RNAcentral lists this ribosomal RNA (370 nucleotides) under uncultured bacterium. RNAcentral describes it as "bacterial SSU rRNA". It matches the Rfam family "Bacterial small subunit ribosomal RNA", at positions 28 to 404 of the family's 1533-position model. The record is from RNAcentral.